This 438-nucleotide ribosomal RNA is filed under the name Sesamia sylvata. Its description in RNAcentral is "partial 16S large subunit ribosomal RNA". The record is from RNAcentral. Lineage: Eukaryota; Metazoa; Arthropoda; Insecta; Lepidoptera; Noctuidae.
GAUUUAAUAUUAAAGGGCUGCAGUAUAUUGACUGUACAAAGGUAGCAUAAUCAUUAGUCAUUUAAUUGAUGACUUGUAUGAAAGAUUGGAUGAAAUAUUAGCUGUCUCUUAAUUAAAAAUAGAAUUUAAUUUUUUAAUUAAAAAGUUAAAAUAGUUUAAAAAGACGAGAAGACCCUAUAGAGUUUUAUAAAUAAAUUAAUUGAGGUUAUUUAUAUUUAAUAAAAUUAAAAUUAGUUUAAUUAUUGUGUUGGGGUGAUAGAAAAAUAUAUUUAACUUUUUUUAUAUUUAAAACAUUUAUAAGUGGUUAAAUGAUCCAAUAUUAUUGAUUAUAAGAAAAAAUUACCUUAGGGAUAACAGCGUAAUUUUUUUUUUUAGUUCACAUAAGAAAAAGAGUUUGCGACCUCGAUGUUGGAUUAAGAUAAAAUUUAAAUGCAGAAG